RNAcentral lists this ribosomal RNA (1440 nucleotides) under Pseudomonas fluorescens. RNAcentral's name for it is "bacterial SSU rRNA". It matches the Rfam family "Bacterial small subunit ribosomal RNA". Lineage: Bacteria; Pseudomonadati; Pseudomonadota; Gammaproteobacteria; Pseudomonadales; Pseudomonadaceae. The record is from RNAcentral.
AGAGUUUGAUCCUGGCUCAGAUUGAACGCUGGCGGCAGGCCUAACACAUGCAAGUCGAGCGGUAGAGAGAGAGAGCGGCGGACGGGUGAGUAAAGCCUAGGAAUCUGCCUGGUAGUGGGGGAUAACGUUCGGAAACGGACGCUAAUACCGCAUACGUCCUACGGGAGAAAGCAGGGGACCUUCGGGCCUUGCGCUAUCAGAUGAGCCUAGGUCGGAUUAGCUAGUUGGUGAGGUAAUGGCUCACCAAGGCGACGAUCCGUAACUGGUCUGAGACCUGCAUCAGUCACACUGGGUACGACUCCUACGGGAGGCAGCAGUGGGGAAUAUUGGACAAUGGGCGAAAGCCUGAUCCAGCCAUGCCGCGUGUGUGAAGAAGGUCUUCGGAUUGUAAAGCACUUUAAGUUGGGAGGAAGGGCAUUAACCUAAUACGUUAGUGUUUUGACGUUACCGACAGAAUAAGCACCGGCUAACUCUGUGCCAGCAGCCGCGGUAAUACAGAGGGUGCAAGCGUUAAUCGGAAUUACUGGGCGUAAAGCGCGCGUAGGUGGUUUGUUAAGUUGGAUGUGAAAUCCCCGGGCUCAACCUGGGAACUGCAUUCAAAACUGACUGACUAGAGUAUGGUAGAGGGUGGUGGAAUUUCCUGUGUAGCGGUGAAAUGCGUAGAUAUAGGAAGGAACACCAGUGGCGAAGGCGACCACCUGGACUAAUACUGACACUGAGGUGCGAAAGCGUGGGGAGCAAACAGGAUUAGAUACCCUGGUAGUCCACGCCGUAAACGAUGUCAACUAGCCGUUGGGAGCCUUGAGCUCUUAGUGGCGCAGCUAACGCAUUAAGUUGACCGCCUGGGGAGUACGGCCGCAAGGUUAAAACUCAAAUGAAUUGACGGGGGCCCGCACAAGCGGUGGAGCAUGUGGUUUAAUUCGAAGCAACGCGAAGAACCUUACCAGGCCUUGACAUCCAAUGAACUUUCUAGAGAUAGAUUGGUGCCUUCGGGAACAUUGAGACAGGUGCUGCAUGGCUGUCGUCAGCUCGUGUCGUAUGUUGGGUUAAGUCCCGUAACGAAUGGUGGGCACUCUAAGGAGACUGCCGGUGACAAACCGGAGGAAUCAUCAUGGCCCUUACGGCCUGGGCUACACACGUGCUACAAUGGUCGGUACAGAGGGUUGCCAAGCCGCGAGGUGGAGCUAAUCCCACAAAACCGAUCGUAGUCCGGAUCGCAGUCUGCAACUCGACUGCGUGAAGUCGGAAUCGCUAGUAAUCGCGAAUCAGAAUGUCGCGGUGAAUACGUUCCCGGGCCUUGUACACACCGCCCGUCACACCAUGGGAGUGGGUUGCACCAGAAGUAGCUAGUCUAACCUUCGGGAGGACGGUUACCACGGUGUGAUUCAUGACUGGGGUGAAGUCGUAACAAGGUAGCCGUAGGGGAACCUGCGGCUGGAU